RNAcentral lists this ribosomal RNA (342 nucleotides) under uncultured bacterium. RNAcentral's name for it is "bacterial SSU rRNA". It matches the Rfam family "Bacterial small subunit ribosomal RNA", at positions 28 to 372 of the family's 1533-position model. The record is from RNAcentral.
GACGAACGCUGGCGGCGUGCUUAACACAUGCAAGUCGAGCGGUAAGGCCCUUUCGGGGGUACACGAGCGGCGAACGGGUGAGUAACACGUGGGUGACCUGCCCUCAGCUCUGGGAUAAGCCUGGGAAACCGGGUCUAAUACCGGAUAUGACUCCAUGACGCAUGUUGUGGGGUGGAAAGCCUUGUGCGGCUGAGGAUGGGCCCGCGGCCUAUCAGUUUGUUGGUGGGGUGAUGGCCACCAAGGCGACGACGGGUAGCCGGCCCGAGAGGGCGACCGGCCACACUGGGACUGAGACACGGCCCAGACCCCUACGGGAGGCAGCAGUGGGGAAUCUUGCGCAAU